This 26-nucleotide non-coding RNA is filed under the name Mus musculus (house mouse). The record is from RNAcentral. Lineage: Eukaryota; Metazoa; Chordata; Mammalia; Rodentia; Muridae.
UGCUACUUGUUUUGAGAAAUUUGAGG